GUUUUAUUUACUCAGUACAAAAUAAUUCGCUCCUUCGUGUGUUGUUGGUCUGUAAACCCCGCGCAUUUCAUACGAGGACCGUUUAUUUCAAACGAAGAGGAUCACGCAGACUGAGCUUAAGGAAAACUGCAUUGAGUCUCGAAGAGAAACUGUGAUCAUUUUCUACCUUGGUGAAAAGACAGAGGCGUUAAUCAAGGACUACAAGGUUUGUGAUGAUGAUGCUGCAGCCAUCCAAGAGGAACUCACUUCAUUUGUUCUUAAAAAAACUGAAACACAGGCUUUCCAGAAGAGCUUCCUGGAGCUGGAGGAUGGAAAUCAAAAAAUUCUCCCCAAAGUCCAUAACCUCAAAGUCAGCUUUCUGGCCUAUAAGCUAUUGUUUAAUCUAGAAGGUUUAAGUUCUGGUCAAGUUUUACAGUUUACAAUUUCUCAAGUUCUCUUAUGCACUUUGUGAGUCUGUUAUGUUUACAAUGCAUGAUGUUUCUGAUGCAUUUAAAGUGAAGCUGACUGUUAAGUGAGAAAUGCGACUCGUGGAAAAUUUUGCACAAUGUAAAUUUCAGUAGAAACCCAAAGUAACUGAAACUGAU
Long non-coding RNA from Puntigrus tetrazona (Sumatra barb), 584 nucleotides. RefSeq lists it as uncharacterized. The record is from RefSeq and is a predicted model, not a curated record. NCBI's taxonomy places the organism in Eukaryota, Metazoa, Chordata, Actinopteri, Cypriniformes, Cyprinidae. The transcript is spliced from 3 exons.